UAAACGACUCUCGGCAACGGAUAUCUCGGCUCACGCAUCGAUGAAGAACGUAGCAAAAUGCGAUACUUGGUGUGAAUUGCAGAAUCCCGUGAACCAUCGAGUUUUUGAACGCAAGUUGCGCCCAAAGCCAUUUGGUCGAGGGCACGUCUGCCUGGGCGUCACG
This 163-nucleotide ribosomal RNA is filed under the name Tripolium vulgare. RNAcentral's name for it is "5.8S ribosomal RNA". It matches the Rfam family "5.8S ribosomal RNA". Rfam says of the family: 5.8S ribosomal RNA (5.8S rRNA) is a component of the large subunit of the eukaryotic ribosome. It is transcribed by RNA polymerase I as part of the 45S precursor that also contains 18S and 28S rRNA. The record is from RNAcentral. Lineage: Eukaryota; Viridiplantae; Streptophyta; Magnoliopsida; Asterales; Asteraceae.